This 338-nucleotide transfer-messenger RNA is filed under the name bacterium. It matches the Rfam family "transfer-messenger RNA". From Rfam's summary of the family: Bacterial tmRNA, also known as 10Sa RNA or SsrA, is named for its dual tRNA and mRNA-like properties. Its role is to liberate the mRNA from a stalled ribosome. To accomplish this part of the tmRNA is used as a reading frame that ends in a translation stop signal. The record is from RNAcentral.
GGGGAUGCCAGGCUUUGACAGGGCAAGCUCUUUGCAAAUUGCAGGCCGAUCUGAUUAAUUCGCUAAAUUAAUCAAAAUUCAUAACUGCCAACAGAAAUGCAGUGCCGGCGAUGGCUUUUGCCUAACCGUCGGUUAUCCUUGCUUUAAAAAACAAGGGCAUCAGUCCGCAACGCCUGAUAGCGGGGCGCUGGUGUAAUAAUCAGGAUCGCGGCGGUCAGAUGGGUUUGGUAGCUGCCGUUAAACCACAAGACCAAAAUCUUUCUCUUUAUUGAGAAUAAGCCUGUAGACGUUUGCGAAUAAUUGCUUUGGACGGGGCUUCAAUGCCCCCAUCUCCACAC